AUGUGUUGGACACCAGCACUUGAUGUACAAAGAAAUAGCCAUGCAGAAAACAAUAAACCAGUUCAGAAUACCAAAGUCAGCUGGAUUUUUGGUUCAGCGACAUCUCAGUUCAGAGAAAAAAUUGUGAAAUUAAAUCAUAGCUCAACUAAUUCUAUAACUAAAUCAAAUACAAAACAAAAGGAGAACUAUCCCAAUCCUCACCCUCCAUUGGUCUAA
This is a non-coding RNA of Vicia faba (fava bean), 216 nucleotides long. The record is from the annotation of a GenBank genome assembly. NCBI's taxonomy places the organism in Eukaryota, Viridiplantae, Streptophyta, Magnoliopsida, Fabales, Fabaceae.